GUAUGGAAGGUGGAACCUGGUAAGCGGUUCGAGCAGGCAAAUCCGCUCGGGCAUUCAACGCCGAAAAGGGAGUCCGGAGUCGUAAGACUCGCAAGGGAGCAAUGCCACGCUGCCGAGAAAAACCUCUAAGGAGAUUUGAUGUUGACCGUACCGCAAACCGACACAGGUAGACGAGGAUGUAAUGUCCAAAGGCGCUUGAGAGAACACUCGUUCAGGAACUCGGCAAAUUAACUCCGUAACUUCGGGAGAAGGAGUGCCCCCGCAAGGGGGCCGCAGUGAAAUGCGAAGGGCGACUGUUUAACAAAAACACAGGUCUCUGCUAAGUCGAAAACGACGUAUAGGGGCUGACGCCUGCCCGGUGCCGGAAGGUUAAAAGGAGCGGUUAGCGGUAGCAAUACUGCGAAGCUGUGAAUUGAAGCCCCGGUGAACGGCGGCCGUAACAAUAACGGUCCUAAGGUAGCGAAAUUCCUUGUCGGGUAAGUUCCGACCUGCACGAAUGGCGUAACGAUCCUUCGACUGUCUUAACGAGUGACUCAGCGAAUUUGUAGUUCCGGUGAAGAUGCCGGAUGCCCGCACCUAGACGAGAAGACCCCGUGCACCUUUACUAUACCCUAACAAUGAUUUAUGGAACCUCAUGCGCAGCAUAGGUGGGAGGCUUUGAACCAUGGCUUUUGGGCUGUGGGGAGCCGACGGUGAGAUACCACCCUUGUUGUUCUGUGAAUCUAACCUAGGUCCCUUAUCGGGAUCAGGGACAUUGUUAGGCGGGUAGUUUGACUGGGGCGGUCGCCUCCUAAAUUGUAACGGAGGCGCUCAAAGGUUACCUCAGGCUGUUUGGAAAUCAGCCGUCGAAUGUAAAGGUAUAAGGUAGCUUGACUGCGAGACCAACAAGUCGAGCAGGUAGGAAACUAGGACUUAGUGAUCCGGUGGUUCUGUAUGGAAGGGCCAUCGCUCAACGGAUAAAAGGUACGCCGGGAUAACAGGCUGAUCCGGGCCAAGAGUUCACAUCGACGCCUGGGUUUGGCACCUCGAUGUCGGCUCAUCGCAUCCUGGGGCUGUAGAAGGUCCCAAGGGUUAGGCUGUUCGCCUAUUAAAGCGGUACGUGAGCUGGGUUCAGAACGUCGCGAGACAGUUCGGUCUCUAUCUGGUGUGGGCGUAGGAGAUUUGAGAGGGUCUGACCUUAGUACGAGAGGACUGGGUUGGACGGACCUCUAGUGUACCAGUUGUCACGCCAGUGGCACGGCUGGGUAGCUAUGUCCGGUUGGGAUAAACGCUGAAAGCAUCUAAGCGUGAAGCCUGCCUCGGGAUUAGAUCUCCCGGGAGCAAUCCCCUAAAGACCCGUGGAAGACCACCACGUUGAUAGGCAGGAUGUGUAAGCGUAGUAAUACGUUUAGCUGACCUGUACUAAUCGGUCGUGAGGCUUGAUCGA
RNAcentral lists this ribosomal RNA (1426 nucleotides) under metagenome. Its description in RNAcentral is "bacterial LSU rRNA". It matches the Rfam family "Bacterial large subunit ribosomal RNA", at positions 1501 to 2925 of the family's 2925-position model. The record is from RNAcentral.